AAAUUUUUGUGCUAAAAUUCAUAAUCAGUUUGGUGUUUCAAUAAAAGUUUUAUGCAGUGACAAUGCCACUGAAUAUCUCUCCUUUCUUUACUCAUUUCUUGUCUUCUCAAGGCAUUUCUCAUCAAACUUCCUAUGCUUAUACUCCUCAACAAGAUGGGGUCGCCGAGUGGAAAAAUAGGCAUCUCAUUGAAACUGCUUGAACCUUACUCAUACACCAUAAU
Molecule: unclassified non-coding RNA, 221 nt
Filed under: Hevea brasiliensis (rubber tree)
Lineage: Eukaryota; Viridiplantae; Streptophyta; Magnoliopsida; Malpighiales; Euphorbiaceae
Source: RNAcentral